AAAAUAUAUAAAAAUAACAUUUCUCAAUACAGAAUAUUUACUUACAUUCAAUGAAAGAGAGGUUUAAUUAGUGCACUAUUAACUUUUCAACCGCAUUUAGUUUCUUUCUCCAGUGGAAAGCCCAGCUGCUAAUAAUCAGAGCACUUUACCUGUUAUUCUCUUCUUCUCUCCCAAGUCUAUCUCCAACCAUUCACGACUACUGCUGUGGUUAGAGGCCCAAGCCAGUCCCAGGACUUGAAGCCACGCCUUGUCAGGAGUCCACUGGAAUAGCUGUCCAAAUUCAUUGGUCUCCUCCCAGUAGGAAGAUGCAGUGAUCUGGCUCUUGGAGAGGAAUCCCUCUUCCAGACUGAGAGAUCUAUUGCAGCCAUUUGAAGUAAACAUAAACCGCUUAUCUGACAGCGAACCAUCAUGUGAGGAAAUACCAUUGGCGACAACACCUUCAUAGCGGCUGAUACCCUUCUGCUGGGUGACACUGAUCUGACCGCCCAGUUCAUCUGCAAUAACACCUGCAUGUAUCGCUGACUUGCACAGCAGUGAGGUAUCUCUGUAUCCUUCUUC
This 558-nucleotide long non-coding RNA is filed under the name Gallus gallus (chicken). Lineage: Eukaryota; Metazoa; Chordata; Aves; Galliformes; Phasianidae. The record is from RNAcentral.